CCUACGGGUGGCAGCAGUGGGUGAUAUUGCACAAUGGGCGAAAGCCUGAUGCAGCGACGCCGCGUGAGGGAAGACGGUCUUCGGAUUGUAAACCUCUGUCUUUGGGGAAGAAGAUGACGGUACCCAAAGAGGAAGCUCCGGCUAAAUACGUGCCAGCAGCCGCGGUAAUACGUAGGGAGCGAGCGUUGUCCGGAAUUACUGGGUGUAAAGGGAGCGUAGGCGGGGAUGCAAGCCAGAAGUGAAAUCUGGGGGCUUAACCCCCAAACUGCUUUUGGAACUGCGUGUCUUGAGUGAUGGAGAGGCAGGCGGAAUUCCCAGUGUAGCGGUGGAAUGCGUAGAUAUUGGGAGGAACACCAGUGGCGAAGGCGGCCUGCUGGACAUUAACUGACGCUGAGGCGCGAAAGCGUGGGGAGCAAACAGGAUUAGAUACCCCGGUAGUC
RNAcentral lists this ribosomal RNA (440 nucleotides) under uncultured bacterium. Its description in RNAcentral is "partial 16S ribosomal RNA". It matches the Rfam family "Bacterial small subunit ribosomal RNA", at positions 338 to 795 of the family's 1533-position model. The record is from RNAcentral.